Molecule: ribosomal RNA, 419 nt
Filed under: uncultured prokaryote
Description: bacterial SSU rRNA
Rfam family: Bacterial small subunit ribosomal RNA
Source: RNAcentral
UGAGGAAUAUUGCUCAAUGGCCGCAAGGCUGAAGCAGCAACGCCGCGUGAGGGAUGAAGCAUCUAUGGUCUGUAAACCUCUGUAGAGAAGGAAAAAUAACCCAUUAUAUGGGCUUGAUAGUACUUCUAGAGUAAGCCCCGGCUAACUACGUGCCAGCAGCCACGGUAAUACGUAGGGGGCGAGCGUUGUCCGGAAUCACUGGGUGUAAAGGGUGCUCAGGCGGGUCGAUAAGUAAGAGGUGAAAUUUCACAGCUUAACUGUGAAUGUGCUUUUGAUACUGUCGGUCUAGAGUUCAGAAGAGGGCAAUGGAAUUCUUGGUGUAGCGGUAAAAUGCAUAGAUAUCAAGAAGAUCACCAGUUGCGAAGGCUGUUGCGUGGUCUGUAACUGACGCUCAAGCACGAAAGCGUGGGGAUCAAACA